This is a long non-coding RNA of Juglans regia (Persian walnut), 1544 nucleotides long. RefSeq lists it as uncharacterized. The record is from RefSeq and is a predicted model, not a curated record. Lineage: Eukaryota; Viridiplantae; Streptophyta; Magnoliopsida; Fagales; Juglandaceae. The transcript has 2 exons.
UAGAGAUUCUUGUUCUGUUAAACCGACCUUCAUUAGUAAGUUUGAUCAUUUGACUGGUUUCCCUUUUAACAUGAAUAGGUUCUCUCUAGUUUUCUGUGAUGUUUCUGGAGCUGCUUUCUUAUAAAAGGUUGCGUUAACCAACAUGUAACUGUUGGUCGAUCGUUAACUUCGCCAUAGUCAAGAUGAUCAGAUUAUAAACUAAAAGAAAAAUGCUGGAGGCAACCGCAAGGGGAACUGCGGCGUAACUACGUCCCACGUGGCAUUAAAUGGAAACGACACCAUUUCCUCAAAACCCUAGCGCAAUGCUUCUAUGUUUUGGUUUUAGCUUCUUGCCUUGAUAAAGCAAGAAGAAGAAGAAUAAAAGUUGUGCAUACUAAGUGUUUGCAUAAACGUGUAGGUGAAAGGCCUUUGUUUCUGGGCUCUGUUUUCAAUUUCUCUAUCACACUUUCACAAUGUACUUCAGCUCCUUUUUAUACACAAGGAGAUCAUUUACAGAUUGAUCAAAAACAAUUCACAUCACUAGAAGAAUUACACAGGAAUAUUCUGGAAGAUGCUAGGCGUGGAAAUGCUUCACUGGCUAUUGUUGGCAGAGCCUCUUGAAGAGCAUUCAGACUUGAUUUUCUACAACACACUAGUGGAGUGAGGUGCUGUGGUAUUUUCUGCAUCAUUGUGGCUAAGGUCCUGCAGCACAGAAGAGGAACGUGGGACAGAGUUGUCCUUGUGGCUGGGACGUGGUGCAGUGCUGUCCUUGUGGUUGGAGGCCUUAAUAGCCACCUCGAUCCAAGGGGCACCAAUGAAAUGGAAACCAAGUAUGGGAUGGUGGUGCCAAGGGAGAAAUUUGAGGUGAUUGGUGAGGUAAGGCUGUGUAGUUGGCUGCAAAAAAGGAUGGUGGUGGCGCUUGAUAAGCUUAAUCAAAUCAGUGGUAGCAAGUUAACGCAGUUUGACCAGGUUUCUGGCAUACUUGACAGAAGGAUCUUGGUGCAGCUUGACUAAAAGGGAGUUGAGAACCUCCUCUACUAGGGCCACGACCACGUCGCCCUCUUGAAAAGGAACCUCUACGAUGGUUUGAGGGAAGACAUUUGGGCGACUUGAAGUUGCAUUUGUUGCAAGAGAGGUUCCUAAAAGCAAUGUGUUAGUUUGAUGUAAUAAACAAGAUUCAUGAUUCAACAAAUAACUGUAAAUCUAUGGGGUGGAAAGAGUAUUGGGUCGAGUGGUAAGUGAUGUAACCAGUGAUUCAUAAUCAGAACCAAGGCCAGCAAGAAGGUAGAUGGUGAAUUUGGAUGGAGAGAGGUUGACCAGCAGCCCCAAGGGAAGAUGCAAGAGAGGUAGCUUUGUUAAAGUACUCUGUGAUUGAGAAAGAACCCUUCUUGAGAGUGGCAAGCUGGUAUUUGGUGUGCAUGAUAUGUGCUGUGGAUUGUGCAGCAAAGAGUGUGUGUAGAGUAGACCAAACCUCCUGAGAAGUAGAACAAGUUAGAAUUUGUGCAAGAACUGAAUCUGAAAGAGAUGCAUUAAUAACCGAAAUAAUCAAUUAGUCUUGUAAGACC